CUACGGGUUGCAGCAGUGGGGAAUAUUGGACAAUGGGGGAAACCCUGAUCCAGCAAUGCCGCGUGAGUGAAGACGGCCUUAGGGUUGUAAAACUCUUUCGCUAGGGAAGAUAAUGACUGUACCUAGUAAAGAAGUCCCGGCUAUCUCCGUGCCAGCAGCCGCGGUAAUACGGAGGGGACUAGCGUUGUUCGGAAUUACUGGGCGUAAAGAGUUCGUAGGCGGACUGACAAGUUAGAGGUGAAAUCCCAGGGCUCAACCCUGGAACUGCCUUUAAAACUGUCAGCCUAGAGACCGGAAGAGGUUAGGGGAAUACCUAGUGUAGAGGUGAAAUUCGUAGAUAUUAGGUGGAACACCAGUGGCGAAGGCGCCUAACUGGUCCGGUACUGACGCUGAGGAACGAAAGCGUGGGGAGCAAACAGGAUUAGAUACCCUCGUAGUC
Molecule: ribosomal RNA, 439 nt
Filed under: uncultured bacterium
Lineage: Bacteria
Description: partial 16S ribosomal RNA
Rfam family: Bacterial small subunit ribosomal RNA
Source: RNAcentral